RNAcentral lists this ribosomal RNA (514 nucleotides) under uncultured bacterium. RNAcentral describes it as "bacterial SSU rRNA". It matches the Rfam family "Bacterial small subunit ribosomal RNA", at positions 66 to 556 of the family's 1533-position model. The record is from RNAcentral.
ACGAGAAAGGGGGCAACCCCCGGUACAGGUGGCGCACGGGUGAGUAACACGUGGAUUACCUGCCCUGGAGUGGUGGAUAACCUGCCGAAAGGUGGGCUAAUACAGCAUGAGACCACGCGGUUUCGAUCGUGAGGUCAAAGCGGGCUUCUGUUCACAAGCUCGCGCUCUAGGAUGGGUCCGCGGCCCAUCAGCUAGUUGGUAGGGUAACGGCCUACCAAGGCUACGACGGGUAGCUGGUCUGAGAGGAUGGCCAGCCACACUGGAACUGAGACACGGUCCAGACUCCUACGGGGAGGCAGCAGGUGGGGAAUCUUGCGCAAUGGACGAAAGUCUGACGCAGCGACGCCGCGUGGGUGACGAAGGCCUUCGGGUUGUAAAAGCCCUGUGGGGAGAGACGAACCGGCAUCUGGCUAACAUCCAGGUGCUCUGACGGUAUCUCCUUAGCAAGCAUCGGCUAACUCUGUGCCAGCAGCCGCGGUAAGACAGAGGAUGCAAACGUUGCUCGGAAUUACUG